UCCCUGAGACCCUAACCUGUGACGGAGUGAAAGGUCAUGGGUCAGUCUCUCGGGAGCC
Molecule: microRNA precursor, 58 nt
Filed under: Scyliorhinus torazame (cloudy catshark)
Lineage: Eukaryota; Metazoa; Chordata; Chondrichthyes; Carcharhiniformes; Scyliorhinidae
Description: Sto-Mir-10-P3b_pre stem-loop
Source: RNAcentral